CAGCAGCCACGGGAAUACAGAGGGUGCGAGCGUUAAUCGGAUUUACUGGGCGUAAAGCGUGCGUAGGCGGCUUCUUAAGUCGGAUGUGAAAUCCCUGAGCUUAACUUAGGAAUUGCAUUCGAUACUGGGAAGCUAGAGUAUGGGAGAGGAUGGUAGAAUUCCAGGUGUAGCGGUGAAAUGCGUAGAGAUCUGGAGGAAUACCGAUGGCGAAGGCAGCCAUCUGGCCUAAUACUGACGCUGAGGUACGAAAGCAUGGGGAGCAAACAGGAUUAGAUACCCGAGUAGUCCCUGUCUCUUAUAC
This 301-nucleotide ribosomal RNA is filed under the name uncultured bacterium. RNAcentral's name for it is "partial 16S ribosomal RNA". It matches the Rfam family "Bacterial small subunit ribosomal RNA", at positions 509 to 807 of the family's 1533-position model. The record is from RNAcentral.